RNAcentral lists this ribosomal RNA (481 nucleotides) under uncultured bacterium. RNAcentral describes it as "partial 16S ribosomal RNA". It matches the Rfam family "Bacterial small subunit ribosomal RNA", at positions 30 to 507 of the family's 1533-position model. The record is from RNAcentral.
UUGAACGCUGGCGGCAUGCUUUACACAUGCCAGUCGAACGGUAACAGGCCGCAAGGUGCUGACGAGUGGCGAACGGGUGAGUAAUGCAUCGGAACGUGCCCAGUCGUGGGGGAUAACUACUCGAAAGAGUAGCUAAUACCGCAUACGAUCUAUGGAUGAACGCGGGGGACCGUAAGGCCUCGCGCGAUUGGAGCGGCCGAUGUCAGAUUAGGUAGUUGGUGGGGUAAAGGCUCACCAAGCCAACGAUCUGUAGCUGGUCUGAGAGGACGACCAGCCACACUGGGACUGAGACACGGCCCAGACUCCUACGGGAGGCAGCAGUGGGGAAUUUUAGACAAUGGGCGCAAGCCUGAUCCAGCAAUGCCGCGUGCAGGAAGAAGGCCUUCGGGUUGUAAACUGCUUUUGUACGGAACGAAACGGCUCUGGUUAAUACCCGGGGCUAAUGACGGUACCGUAAGAAUAAGCACCGGCUAACUACGUG